ACUCCUACGGGAGGCAGCAGUGGGGAAUAUUGCACAAUGGGCGCAAGCCUGAUGCAGCCAUGCCGCGUGUGUGAAGAAGGCCUUCGGGUUGUAAAGCACUUUCAGUCGUGAGGAAGGUAGUGUAGUUAAUAGCUGCAUUAUUUGUACGUUAGCGACAGAAGAAGCACCGGCUAACUCCGUGCCAGCAGCCGCGGUAAUACGGAGGGUGCGAGCGUUAAUCGGAAUUACGUGGCGUAAAGCGCAUGCAGGUGGUUUGUUAAGUCAGAUGUGAAAGCCCGGGGCUCAACCUCGGAAUAGCAUUUGAAACUGGCAGACUAGAGUACUGUAGAGGGGGUUAGAAUUUCGAGGUGUAGCGGUGAAAUGCGUAGAGAUCUGAA
This 377-nucleotide ribosomal RNA is filed under the name uncultured bacterium. Its description in RNAcentral is "bacterial SSU rRNA". It matches the Rfam family "Bacterial small subunit ribosomal RNA", at positions 335 to 702 of the family's 1533-position model. The record is from RNAcentral.